Molecule: ribosomal RNA, 112 nt
Filed under: Caerostris darwini
Lineage: Eukaryota; Metazoa; Arthropoda; Arachnida; Araneae; Araneidae
Source: RNAcentral
AACGGCCGUACCAUGCUGAAUAUACCGGUUCUCGUUAGAUCACCGAAGUCAAGCAUCAUUGGGCGCGGUCAGUACUUGGGUGGGUGACCACCUGGGAACACAGUGUGCCGUU